This 501-nucleotide ribosomal RNA is filed under the name uncultured bacterium. RNAcentral describes it as "partial 16S ribosomal RNA". It matches the Rfam family "Bacterial small subunit ribosomal RNA", at positions 29 to 523 of the family's 1533-position model. The record is from RNAcentral.
AUUGAACGCUGGCGGCAUGCCUUACACAUGCAAGUCGAACGGCAGCACGGGUGCUUGCACCUGGUGGCGAGUGGCGAACGGGUGAGUAAUACAUCGGAACGUACCUUAUCGUGGGGGAUAACGCAGCGAAAGCUGUGCUAAUACCGCAUACGCCCUGAGGGGGAAAGCGGGGGAUCGCAAGACCUCGCGCGAUUAGAGCGGCCGAUGCCGGAUUAGCUUGUUGGUGGGGUAAAAGCCCACCAAGGCGACGAUCAGUAGCUGGUCUGAGAGGACGAUCAGCCACACUGGGACUGAGAAACGGCCCAGACUCCUACGGGAGGCAGCAGUGGGGAAUUUUGGACAAUGGGGGCAUCCCUGAUCCAGCAAUGCCGCGUGAGUGAAGAAGGCCUUCGGGUUGUAAAGCUCUUUUGUCAGGGAAGAAACACCGGCUCUAACACAGUCCGGGAAUGACGGUACCUGAAGAAUAAGCACCGGCUAACUACGUGCCAGCCGCCGCGGUAA